GGGGACGUGGCGCAACGGUAGCGCAUCUGAUUCCAGUUCUGGAAUAUCCAGAAGGCUGUCUGUUCGAAUCAGGCCGUCCUCA
This is a non-coding RNA of Diaporthe citri, 82 nucleotides long. The record is from the annotation of a RefSeq genome assembly. NCBI's taxonomy places the organism in Eukaryota, Fungi, Ascomycota, Sordariomycetes, Diaporthales, Diaporthaceae.